Molecule: ribosomal RNA, 467 nt
Filed under: Caldivirga sp.
Lineage: Archaea; Thermoproteati; Thermoproteota; Thermoprotei; Thermoproteales; Thermoproteaceae
Description: partial 23S ribosomal RNA
Rfam family: Archaeal large subunit ribosomal RNA
Source: RNAcentral
CCGCCCAUUAAAGGGGAACGUGAGAUGGGUUCAGACCGUCGUGAGACAGAGGGGGUGGCCAGGUGUCGAAAGUAAUAUUUACCCUCAAAUUAUGGAAAAUAUGGAGUGACCCAUGUUAUUAACCUGGCCCUCCCUCCUCAAGAGGUCGGUCUCUACCUGUCGGGGGUGCUGGCCGCCUGCGGGGAAGGUGCCCUCAGUACGAGAGGAACGGGGCGCCGCGGCCUCUAGUCUACCGGUUGUCCGGCAGGGCAGUGCCGGGCAGCCACGCCGCUUGGGGUAACCGCUGAAGGCAUCUAAGCGGGAAGCCCUCCCCUAAAAUAGGCGGCCGCCGCUCCUGGCCGGGGUUACCCGGCUGGGGGUGGUUAGGGCUCCCGUAGAAGACGGGGUUGAUGGGGUGGGGGUGUAUCCCCCGAGGGUUUCCCCGAGGGGGGAGCCUGCCACUCCCAAUCGCCCGAAGGUGCGGGUGG